This 148-nucleotide unclassified non-coding RNA is filed under the name soil metagenome. Its description in RNAcentral is "partial internal transcribed spacer 1". The record is from RNAcentral.
CCGAGUUUACAACUCCCAAACCCCUGUGAACAUACCACUUGUUGCCUCGGCGGAUCAGACCGCUCCCGGUAACAACGGGCCGCCCCCGCCAGAGGACCCCUAAACUCUGUUUUAUAUGUAAUUUCUGAGUAAAACAUCAAAUAAAUCA